This 93-nucleotide microRNA precursor is filed under the name Canis lupus familiaris (dog). RNAcentral describes it as "mir-8834 microRNA precursor family". It matches the Rfam family "mir-8834 microRNA precursor family". The record is from Rfam by way of RNAcentral. Lineage: Eukaryota; Metazoa; Chordata; Mammalia; Carnivora; Canidae. RNAcentral also lists the same sequence under 1 other name.
AGGAGGAACAGCCCCAGAGGCGGGGCAGCUCUGGAACCUGGAUUCAGCUCCGGCAGGAACUCCGUCUGCAGGGCCUGGAGGCUCCGGGGCGGG